UGAAUCCUGCGUGCUGUNCAAAAAGAUGG
RNAcentral lists this non-coding RNA (29 nucleotides) under Mus musculus (house mouse). Lineage: Eukaryota; Metazoa; Chordata; Mammalia; Rodentia; Muridae. The record is from RNAcentral.